Long non-coding RNA from Siniperca chuatsi (mandarin fish), 2409 nucleotides. RefSeq lists it as uncharacterized. NCBI's taxonomy places the organism in Eukaryota, Metazoa, Chordata, Actinopteri, Centrarchiformes, Sinipercidae. The record is from RefSeq and is a predicted model, not a curated record. The transcript is spliced from 4 exons.
CGGCACAGUGACGUUAGUUAACUUUCUAUUGGCCUACCUCUCACACCGCGCUGUCAAGGUGUUGCGAUGGUGUACCGACUCGUUUUGACAAAUGUGCAUAAAACCGUUCAGAUCACACAAUACUGACAACAAUACGUCAGGCUAUAUGUGGUAUAAAAGAUUACAGACACAACGGCGUAAAAUAGACUUUUGCCCACCUUCACUUUUACGUGUAUGAAUCAACAGGAGAAUGCAGCAGCCCUGGUCUCUCAUUUAUGUGGACUUUAAGGGGCGGCGUUGCUGUAAAUGAAGAGACAGCUCAGCCCACAUUGUUCAGUUCUCCACGCUAGAAACCGUCUGUGGCGCAUUAAAGAGAAGCAGACUUUUGCCUCCGUGCGGAAACUGACAGAGGAGCCAGUGGCGCACCGGAGCCCGAGCUCUGCCGCCUCCCUGCUCAGGGAGUGUGUCUGUGUGUGUGUGUCUCUGCGCUUUCAUGAUUAUGUGCAUGUCUUGAGCGCCAUCCGCAGUAUUCUCCAUGUGCACACCGGCAGAACAGUCUGUACAUCGUGUUCCUGUGGUGGUGAUGCCUGCAGCGGAUGCCCCCCCCCCCUUCAGCUCUGUGUGACGACUGUGUCGUCAUGUGACCGGUUCGGUCUCCGCAGAGUUUCCCGUCGAAGCUGUUGAAGCAGAGCUCUCUCAGCGCGCACAGACCGGCCGCGCCGCACACGUCGCAGAUGUCGCUGUGACCGCACUCUGCUACUCUGCUCCGCCGAUGUUGAACAGCGCCAUCAGCAGUCUCGUGAUGGAUAUCACAGCAAGCCUCUCUUCUCUGGGACCGUAAAGGAUAACAACCAGCCCGAGAGGAUCCUCGUAGCCCAGCCGUGCAUCGCACCGAGAGACGAAGCUGAACAAAAACAGCUGGAGUGCAGCUGUGAGCCUUCCGAUGGUUCCCGACAUAGUUUGCUGUAGUUUGGAAGUCUGAGCAGUUGUAGCGGGAGAGCAGAGUUAGAGCUGGACUGAAAGGGAACGAUCAGUUCAGUGUUCUUAUAGAGGGAAACUUCGGCUUCUUAUCCCGGGACAAUUCAACUUUCGGAGUUUAAAUGUGAAAUCCGAAAAUGUGAAAAUAUCGCAAGUCGCUAAGACAGCAGAAUAUGUUUUCUUGUUGACGGGUUGCCCGCUGGAGGGUCUCAGUAUCCAGUCUGUCGGUGUUCUCCGCUUCACAUACGCGCCGGAACGGCUGCUGUUUGAGCGGCAACGGAGGCAUUAAUACUUCAAACUGAGACUCCAACCGAGGCUUCUCCAACCGAGGCUUCUCCAACCAACAACCCCCGCCCCUGUGUCCGGUGUUCAGCCGGCGCUGUCUUGGGUAUGUCUGCCGAUAUGGAUCCUGCGAUCGAAGCUCAUCUACUGGCCUGGGGCUUUGGUGACCACAUCCCGGCGAUCCGGGAGAAAGCGUUUGAUAUGAAAAUUGGACCUGCUACAAAGUGGAGAGCACAUGCUGAGAAGUACUAAGCAAAUCAAGAUAUAAUACAGCUGCUGCUGACUUGUCUGCGUUCACGGGCACUUUAAGGACAACUGAACUCGUACUGCCGAAUCCGUUCGUGUAGAGAGCAGCGGUGCAGCCCGUCCUCUGAGGAAGAGUGGGAGUGUUCAUUCGCGCAGCCACAGCUUCGGGAAACCAGACAGAAGCAGACAGCACGGAGACUUGAAGCGCACGGUCAUCAAGCGGCUGCUUUCACACACUGUGUAUCUGUGAUGUCGACGUUUGGUGCCGAAUCUUGGUCUGAAGACACGGAGGUGGAGUGUGGAAGCGGGUGCGGUGACAUCGGCUCCACCAGACUCUGCGAGCUGCGCUCUGACUUCCGCGUACAUCUCCAAAGAUUCUCCGUGGAUGGACACCGCGGACACCGAAGAGAUGAUUACACCGCCUCGGGAGUCGGAGCGGAGCUCUUCGGCCGAAGAGACAGACUGAAAGACACAACACUUCGCCCGCCACCCAAAGUUUGUUGGACUUUGACACUUGAAGACCAAAGAAUAUGGGAAAGACAAUACAAAGUUAUUUUUUCCACAAAUAUCAAUAGUGUCAUUUGGAGGUCAAACAAUAUAACAACCUGCAUUAUAUUUUAUUUAUUUAUUUUAUUUUCAUUAUAUUGUUCAGUGGAGGUGCGAGAGACCAAACCUUCCACACAGACAGUGCCGAACGCACCAUCCAUAGUGUGUGCUGCAGGGCCGCACCAUUAUUAAGAUAGCAUCAGAGAUCAACACAGACAGUGCGGAACCCACCAUCCGCAGUGAUGUCCUGAAGAGACUGGUGCUGGAACAGCUGCGGCCCAUGGUCAGACCCCUCCUGGACCCACUUCAGUUCGCCUACCAGCCCCGGCUGGGAGUUGAGGACGCCAUCGUCUUCCUGCUGAACCGCAUCUACACUCA